This 331-nucleotide ribosomal RNA is filed under the name uncultured eukaryote. Its description in RNAcentral is "partial 18S ribosomal RNA". It matches the Rfam family "Eukaryotic small subunit ribosomal RNA", at positions 1470 to 1796 of the family's 1831-position model. The record is from RNAcentral.
CCCUUAGAUGUUCUGGGCCGCACGCGCGCUACACUGACGAAGUCAGCGAGCAUGUCCUGCGCCGACAGGUGCGGGGAAUCUUGUCAAACUUCGUCGUGAUGGGGAUUGAUUAUUGAAAUUCUUGAUCAUCAACGAGGAAUUCCUAGUAAGCGCAAGUCAGCAGCUUGCGUUGAUUACGUCCCUGCCCUUUGUACACACCGCCCGUCGCUACUACCGAUUGAAUGGUUUAGUGAGAUCUUCGGAUUGGCGCCACUGCGGCUCAGCAAUGGGCUCGGUGGAUGCCGAAAAGUUGAUCAAACUUGAUCAUUUAGAGGAAGUAAAAGUCGUAACA